CAAGGAGGAUGCUUUUCUGAGAAAUAUUCUAGAUGACUUGAUUGAAGGAGGCUCCACUGUGAUCUGAGCCAGAUAUGUUUACCCUAAGAGGACUCACGCUUAUCAUCCAGCACAAUGGUGUCCUCUUACUAGAAUUAGCAUCUGCUGGAUCACUGACUGCAUUUCCACAGAACACAGAACAAAGCGGUUAAGAUCCAGGGCAUUGAGCCACGCCUUAAAUCGAAGCAUUGUCCACCUUCUAACCCCAAGCAGACACCAAGAGGGAGCCAACAACAGGGAUCCUGAGAGGCAAAGGGAGUCCAAGGAGCUAUGGGGAGAACUUUCCAUCUUUGGGGAUGAGAAUGUGAAGCAUCAAUUUAUGUGAAAACUACUGCUUGAUUAAAGACAAGAUUUUUGAAAGCCAUCCUGUAAAACACCCUGUCCCACACAUUGUUAAAGAUCUGGUACCUGAAACCACAGUGCCGAAAGUAGUCAAGUACGACUAUGCCUGAAGCCCAGAAGUGUGGUUUUCCACAGUGAGGAAGAUUUGCAUUGUGAAGCAGAUGUCAGAUAGAAAAAGCAAAACAGAAAUAUGAAGACAUUGUAAGAAUUUUGGGGUGAUUUCUGACCUGCUCAGUUUCCAUCAGGGCAUCCCAGGGUUUUUUGCCUUCUCAAUUUUGAACAGCAUAGCAUUUAAAUGAUCAUUUUUGUUUCUCUCCGCUGCUCCCCAAUCUAAACAACAAAAGAAGGAAUUUAACCUCAUAUCCUCGCUCUGAAAUUAGCUCUAUUGUCAAAAGAUGACAGCUGUAUCCUGAUUUCAAGAAUUUCAUGUUGGAAUAAAACAGCAUUUUUGAAACCAUUGUGUUAUUUCAAACAGAUCUGUAAUGGUCCCUGAGCAAACCAUUUUCAGAAGACUUGGGUAAGUAAGAUAAAAAGACACCAUUUCUGAAGAGUUGCUUUUAUGGGCUAGGUCAGAGUGCUCUCUUUCCAUGUUGUUCAUUCCCAGUUGAAUUUCCUAAUAGUCUAUCUCCUCAGCUAACAGAUGCCCAGCCUCAUGUCGGAACCAGAUCGCGCCACUGCUGAGAUUCCAUCCAGUUCCUUUCUUAUUGAGCCGUUUCCCUAGCAGAUGGUGCAAUGCUGCAGGCAUACUCCUUCCUGUUAAUUACCAGCCUUUGCUACAGAUGGAAAUGUCAGUCAGCCUCACAGGUCCUGGUUCCUGCCAUUGCCUCAGUCCCUAGCCCUCUACCUAGGCAAGAUGCUGCCAACACACACCAUGUGUUU
Molecule: long non-coding RNA, 1260 nt
Filed under: Homo sapiens (human)
Lineage: Eukaryota; Metazoa; Chordata; Mammalia; Primates; Hominidae
Description: HSALNT0026786
Source: RNAcentral